Molecule: long non-coding RNA, 2141 nt
Organism: Peromyscus leucopus (white-footed mouse)
Lineage: Eukaryota; Metazoa; Chordata; Mammalia; Rodentia; Cricetidae
Exons: 4
Source: RefSeq, a predicted model, not a curated record
ACUCAAGUACUGGCUUCAGAGGGUUGUGGGAAUGCAAUGAAAGCCUUUACUGCAUAGUAAGCACAGGCUUUGCCUCUAAGUGGGUUUCAAGCAGCAGCAGGUGAGAGUGGCCUUUAGUAAGUGCAUGUUGAAGAAGUACGCGAUGGAAAAGGUUUUUACAGGGGGUUUGCUGAAGACGCGCUUUAAUUUGUGUGCAUGCGUAGCAGAGGGCGUGGGAUCCCCUGGCACCGAGUCGUAGGUGGUCGCGAUCUGCCUGAUGUGGGUGCUGGCAACCUAACUCGGUUCUUCUGGAAGAGCAGCAAGUGCUCCUGAGUGCUGAGCCAUGGCUCCAGCCGCUCACAGGCGCUCUUAUUUCUUAAAAGGCAAAUGGAUACUUUGUACUUGUUCGGCUAGAAGGGAUGAAACGUGUGCUGGACAGUCUCAGUUUGUAAUCCUACUGGGGACUGACCCCGUGGCGCUCGUAGACUUUGACAUGUCCCAGCUUUUUGGUGGAGUUUGGGGGAUCGGAUAUGGCUUUAUCUAGUGAAUGAACUCCGUGGCGGGGCAGUGUGUCACUAGCAACAGGAUUGCCAGCAGAACGUCACCCAGAGAGGCCCAGACUCCUGCAUCUGGGGAGAAAGGAGAUGGCUGCUGGGGAGAAAGCCACUGAAAUCAGAGCUGGGCACAUGAAUUUGGGGCCAGUUUGUGUCAGUUCCAAGCCCUUGAUGAGUUAGUGUAUCGACUAUCCCAGUCCUCUGACUUGUUCUGUACAGAAAAAGCUGAUCUCUCUUGCAUUGUCUGUCUAGCUUGCUGUCAGUCUAUGUGGAAGUUACCACUUCAUACUAGUCAUUUUCCAGUUUUUUCUUUCCUUUUAUUUUAUUUUUGUGAUAACAAUAUAAUUACAACAUUUCUUCCUUCCUUUUCGCCCCUCAAAACUGUCCCAUAUGUCCUUUCCUACUGUCCUUUCAAUUCAGGAUUCUUUGUUUCACAAGUUGUUAUUGCACGCAUAUAUGUAUAUAUUCCUAAAUAGAACCUGUUCCUUCUCUAUAAUGUUACUUGUGUGUAUGUUUUCAGAGCUGACUGUUCAGCACUGGACAACCAGUUGGUGUCUCUUCCUCGGGGAAUACUAUGUCUUCUGUUCCCAGCUUUUCAUAGUUGCCAGUAGUUUUUUUGUGUAGGGUUGAGACUUCAUGGGUUUUUUCCAGUCCAGUUCGCCUUGUUCAUUGGUGUCAUCCUUGUUCAGCACUCAUUUAGGCUGUCAUGUUGGUGAGACAUUAUGGGUGUGCUUUCUGACAUUAGUAAGAGACACAAUCUCACAGCAAAGUCUCUGGUCCUCUGGCUCUUACAUUCUUUAUGCCCCCAAUCUUUGCCCCUGUUCCCUGAACCAUUACAGAAGGUCCCCUUGACUUGGGAUUUAUUUAUUAUAUAUUUAUUCAUUUAUUACCAUAGUUUUGAUUUUGUAUAUAUACUGAAAUUUUGGGUAAUUUCUUUCCAAUUUUGAUAGUACAUAUGAGAAUGUAAUUCCACUUCCUGCUUGGUAACGCAAUUUGGGGUAUAUUUAAUGCUGCCACACCAGUGGAUUGAGGAGAGGGUGCCAUUUCCCCUUGUCUUUACAUAAAUGAACCAUUGUUUCACUCCACAAGGACAAUUCAACUCUGCACAGCAGGAUAGAGAGAGCCAACUAACAAUGUAUAGCCUAGGGCCUCAACUCCCAUCUAGUUUUCCUAGAGAAGUAAGUGGGAACAGGGCUUAGACUCUAGGCUUUUUCUGCUAAGCCACAAAAACUGAUUCCUAUAGUGCUUUCUGGUCAUUUAUUUAGAGGAAAGAAUCAUAUACAGGUUUUAAAGGCAUGGACUCCAAAGGGAGAUAUUUUUUGGCUCAGUUCCAGAUUCUACCAUAUAUGAGAUUAAAAUCCUUGGGAUGUUGCUGAAUCACUGCUAUCUAUGAAAUCAUGGAGACUAUACUUGUCAGGCACAGUUACCAGCUCUCUAUCACAAGAGAUUACAUUACAUUUCCUGUCAUUUAUGGGAAUAAAUUCAAACACUUUUACCCAUUUUCCACCUGGUCUUCCACAAUGUUUCCUGGGCCUUGGAAGAGGUUAUAUAGAUGUCCCUUAUAAGGGCCAGAAGAGGGCGCCAGAUCUCAUUACGGAUGGUUGUGAG